Molecule: ribosomal RNA, 510 nt
Filed under: uncultured bacterium
Lineage: Bacteria
Description: partial 16S ribosomal RNA
Rfam family: Bacterial small subunit ribosomal RNA
Source: RNAcentral
GACGAACGCUGGUGGCGUGCUUAACACAUGCAAGUCGAACGAAGAGCGAUGGAAGCUUGCUUCUAUCAAUCUUAGUGGCGAACGGGUGAGUAACGCGUAAUCAACCUGCCCUUCAGAGGGGGACAACAGUUGGAAACGACUGCUAAUACCGCAUACGAUCCAAUCUCGGCAUCGGGACUGGAUGAAAGGUGGCCUCUAUUUAUAAGCUAUCACUGAAGGAGGGGAUUGCGUCUGAUUAGCUAGUUGGAGGGGUAACGGCCCACCAAGGCGAUGAUCAGUAGCCGGUCUGAGAGGAUGAACGGCCACAUUGGGACUGAGACACGGCCCAGACUCCUACGGGAGGCAGCAGUGGGGAAUCUUCCGCAAUGGACGAAAGUCUGACGGAGCAACGCCGCGUGAGUGAUGACGGCCUUCGGGUUGUAAAGCUCUGUUAAUCGGGACGAAUGGUUCUUGUGCGAAUAGUGCGAGGAUUUGACGGUACCGGAAGAGAAAGCCACGGCUAACUACGUG